UCCAGACCCCCGACUCCCUCCCCAGCUCUUGGGUCUGCAGGACCCCUCUGGAUUGCAGCUGAGAGGAGUCCCCCAGCAGGCAGGGACCCCACGAGACAAGAUGCAGCUUUGGAAGGCCCCCAGCUCCGAGGGGUGGCGCUGGCCUCCUCGAUGCUCCUGGCCUCUGCUGGCCUCCUCAUGGGCCUCCUCUGGUGCUGUUGCUCUCCCAGCUGGCUGGCCUGGCAACCUGAUGCCUGUGGCCUCUGCCUCCGCUGCAGCACAGCCUGUACCACGUGCUACCCAUGUCCCAGCCAGGUCUCCCCAGGGGGCUGCAGUUGAGUGGCCCAGCCUUCCAGGAUCAGGGAGGCCAUCCCUAGAGGGGCUUCGGGCACACGGGAAUGAGACUAGGCUCUGGGGUCAGACAGACUCUUUGGGUUCUAACUCCCUGGCUCUGUGUCUGAUGUUGGACAGGCCCCCUAACCCUCUGAGACUCAGCUGCCCCUCCAGAAAACAGGACAACUCCUGCCUCACAGGGUUGGGGGCCUGGGGGCCUCGCUGAUCCAAAGCCAGCUUGCUUCACCCACAGAUCUCACCUGCCCUGCUCUGCCCCACCCACAGGCUCCACUGAGUGAAGCCCUCAUCAAAGACACGGGAGGCCCCUGGCGGGGAUAGCACCGUUUAUUAAGAAAAAUCAAGACAAAGACCACAGGAGGGUCCCUUCUAGGACACAGAGGCCAGCCGUCCCAACCCCACAGUCUGGGGGCCACUGGCAGGAUGGCUCUUGGAUCUUCAGGCUCCCGCAGAUGGGGCAGGGUGGUCAUAUCCCCUUCCUCUCUCUCUCAGUCGUGAGUCCUGCCUUCCCCCACCUAAGGCACUAGCUCUUCCUGAGCACCAGCGGCGUCUGUACGUCCGAGGAGUCCCUGGGCCUUCACUUCCAGAUGGGUGGGGA
This 928-nucleotide small RNA is filed under the name Pongo abelii (Sumatran orangutan). Its description in RNAcentral is "processed transcript". Lineage: Eukaryota; Metazoa; Chordata; Mammalia; Primates; Hominidae. The record is from RNAcentral.